This 451-nucleotide ribosomal RNA is filed under the name uncultured bacterium. RNAcentral's name for it is "bacterial SSU rRNA". It matches the Rfam family "Bacterial small subunit ribosomal RNA", at positions 29 to 524 of the family's 1533-position model. The record is from RNAcentral.
AACGAACGCUGGCGGCAUGCCUAACACAUGCAAGUCGAACGAAGUCUUCGGACUUAGUGGCGCACGGGUGCGUAACGCGUGGGAAUCUGCCCUUGGGUUCGGAAUAACAGCGAGAAAUUGCUGCUAAUACCGGAUGAUGACGUAAGUCCAAAGAUUUAUCGCCCAAGGAUGAGCCCGCGUAGGAUUAGCUAGUUGGUGAGGUAAAAGGCUCACCAAGGCGACGAUCCUUAGCUGGUCUGAGAGGAUGAUCAGCCACACUGGGACUGAGACACGGCCCAGACUCCUACGGGAGGCAGCAGUGGGGAAUAUUGGACAAUGGGCGAAAGCCUGAUCCAGCAAUGCCGCGUGAGUGAUGAAGGCCUUAGGGUUGUAAAGCUCUUUUACCCGGGAUGAUAAUGACAGUACCGGAGAAUAAGCUCCGGCUAAACUCCGUGCCAGCAGCCGCGGUAAU